AUUCGACUGUGAUUUUAAGUUAAUUUAAGAAUAUUUCAAAUAUAUUCAAGUUAAUUUUUUGAUUACUACAAAAUAUCGAGAUUGGCAACCCUGCGUUGCAAGAGAUUGCUCUCUCACUCUCAGCUCACUCGUUUCUACCUAAAAAAUCCAAAAACCAAUUUUCCCGGAUAUCCUACCGUACGGUCUGUUGAAGCGGACGGUAGAAGCGGUGGUGACUGUUCAUUUAUAUUGCGCUCACAUUCGGUCCACGGUUUUGUGUCGGUGACUCUUUGUGCCAUUAAUCUGGCCGUUCGAGUCGUUCCAAUCGCGAAACGUCAAAACAUACCCGAUCCAGUCAACUGUCAAAGUCGAGUAGAUGAGUUACUCUCUCAUUUCCAACGAUAUCAUCUCUUCAUCUCUAUCCACACCAUCAGCACUAUCUAAAAUAUCUUCACCAAUAAACAUAUGUAUUCAAUUACUUUGCAGAGAUGCCAACUGCUGCGAAAUAAGUAUGUGCGGCAAAGCCAGAUUAUUUUUUUUACGAAGGUUUUUUAUGCAAAGAAAAAUGAAGGUAUAUUUUUUUAAUAACACAUAUUUUUAACCAAUUAUGCGGGAAAAUCAAUUAACCGGGUUCAAUUAAGCGGGAAAUCGUACACGAAUUUUAUGUGCAAUAUAUUUUGGACCGAGUCAAAUAAGCGGAAAAAUCAAUUAAGGGGGGGAUACUGUACCUGCCUCACUCAUUGUGGUUGUAAUGCCGAAUUUAACAACAUCCGCCAAUUUUAACUUAAUUUUUUUCGAGACAUGCUUCAUAUAAGACGGUGGUAACCAAUUCACUACCACACUUAUAAAAUUUCACAUCUUACACCACUAUAUAUUCAAAACUAACUCUUUGUUUCUAAAUCGAAAAAUCGAUUGUAAGAGUAGCAACAUUCAUCAUGCAAAUUUUUGAAUUCAAAAGAAAGAGAUGCGCACAUAGACAAUGAAUCUGUCAAAAAAAUCGCUUAUUUGUUAAUUUUCAUAAAUGUUUCUUAAAUUAAACUAUUUUCAAAACAGGAAACAAGCAAACGAAGACCAUUUUGGAAGCACAAUACAAUAUUAAGCAACAAGAACUUAUUGUAUAGGAAAAGUAUAAAGUGCGAAACCAAUUUGGUUUUUUGGAUUGCGAGUUGCUUGGAUUGGAGUCGAAUUCAACUAAUUUAAAUCGUGCUGAAGUUGCGGUCAAACAGUUUCAAAAAAGUGAUAAGCAAAGAAAUGGCGAUUACUUCUCCACGCGUUUGAACGUUCAAGAGGAUGGCAUUAACUUGGUUUAAAUCAAGAAUAAUGUAGGACUGAUAACUAUAUCCAAGUUUAGCUUGUGUGGGUCACCAGAACUUCGAAGGUUUUCGCCGAUGAUGUUUCCGAACUGGAAAUACAGUGAGAUAAAUUAUGUGGCGAUCGCGAAGGGUUGUGUGAGAUAUUUCGCAAUGGUUAUUCCAAGGUUGUAUUGCCUUGCAGGGAUUUGUCAUCGUGGUGAGCAACGAUCAUCUUUUGUAACAGGCCAAUUAGAACGCCGCACUACUGUUUCAGUGUUUAGUGGGCUAUUAUGCGAAAGAUAUUCUACAUCAAGUGGUGCAGCGGAGAACGCCGAGAAUGCUUAGAAUGUGCUGUGUCGUUUGGAGCACAUCACCGUCAACAAUACUAUUUAUACGCAGAGGACUGUCAUCUCGGAGAACCAUGUCUACUAUAAGAUGCGCGUUUUCAAUCCAACACACAUUUGGCCAUGGUUGCUGCGUAUCGAAUUGAAAUAUUCCAAGUGUUUGGCAUUGAGGCUGUGCGUAAAUCGGUUGAGAAGUAAAUUAAUGCUGUGCUGAAGCUCUACGGGUUGUAUGUAAACUGUGAGCAUAAAAUUAAUAGUGGAAGACUUCUUCAAAUUAACCUAAAAUAUUUUGUUUGGUUAGAAAAUGUCCUCAGCUGAAAGUUUAACAUUUUGUUUAAUUACCUUAACAUAGGUAACCCAUGUUAAUCCUUUUUUUGGUUACCAAAACAAUGUUAAGGUAACAAAACAAAAUGAUACGGGAAGUAAACAAUGUUAACGUGUAGCCAAGGUAACCACCGUAAAUAACAUAUGUAUAUUAAGUACAUUUUAGUUUUUAAAAUAUAAAAAUUAAGUUAGCUAUUAAUAUGAAGUACAAAAUUAAUUAAUUAAAAAUAUUAUUGUUUAAUAAGGGUACAUGUAUGUACCUAAUGUUCGAAUAUUAACAAUUAAGUAUAAAAGUUUGAUAAUCAAUAUUAACUAUCUAUAAACCAUA
Long non-coding RNA from Bactrocera oleae (olive fruit fly), 2267 nucleotides. RefSeq lists it as uncharacterized. NCBI's taxonomy places the organism in Eukaryota, Metazoa, Arthropoda, Insecta, Diptera, Tephritidae. The record is from RefSeq and is a predicted model, not a curated record.